CAAACUGUAGAACAGCACCUCACCUCGCUGACUCCCUGCUUCUAACACUCACAACUAAUACACUGAGAGGAGAAGCCACCCACAGUGCUGGGAAGUUGGGAAGUGCCAGUGAUCAAGCAGGAAGAGAGAGGAAGCUGCACCUAGUCUCAUUCUCCUUGUUUCCUUCCCCCUGGUUUGUGUCUGCCUCAACUGAAGUCAUAAAACAUAACAAAGGCACAAGGGAACACUCCUUUGUAUUUGCUUCAGCUACUCUGCACCUGAGAUACCAGACCAUAAAGACGAUGUGGGUGUGCCAGUGCCAGUGCUGCAUGAAUUUAUUACCAUCUGUAAAAUGAAGACCUUCCUGGUGUAAUUACGACAAUUUGCAUGGCAAAUGAAGAAAAUGAAGCAAAUAAUGAUAACCCUUCUCAAAUCGAAAACAAACAGUAUUCAUCUUCCCGGCAUUACUGAACAAACUUCCACUAAGACAUGUUUCAAGGCAUCACUCAAAACACUGAUCUGGGUUUAAGACCAUUCCACGAUGUAAUCAGGCCCCACCAAAACUGAAAGCUGCAGUAACUUUAAGCCACAGCCAUACCCGUGUGCAUGCACUCAUGUGAAAGUAUCGCACACACUAAAUUGCACUGAGGCCGUGAGAACAUGCAACUUAGUAAUGUGCAAUAUCUCCACCAGAGCAAGCAGAAUGGGAGCUUCAGGGAAGAAGGGUAUGGUGCAUUCAGGAAGAGAACGACAUGCUGCUCAGGGAAAGGAAAAUGGUUCAGGCAAAGGUGUGCAUGCUACUACUUGGAAACCUGUGAUUUGGAGACUUACUGCUUCAUCCAUUCAGGACAAAAACAAAACAAAAAUAAAAAUCCAGACAAGAGCAACCCCUCCCCAGUUCAGGGGUAAAGAAUAUAAUUUUCCUACUUAAGCAGUAAAACAGGUGACUCAUGAACCAACUUUAUUUUACAGAACCCUUCUGAGCAAAGCAAAUCUCACACUGUUAUGGUCAGAUAAUUAUUUGACUGAACCUUCAAAAUACUGCAUUAUUAACUAUAGCUACAAUGAAAAAAAUCACUAACUACUAUUGAGAAUUAAAAUUAUCUAA
This is a long non-coding RNA of Passer domesticus (house sparrow), 1087 nucleotides long. RefSeq lists it as uncharacterized. The record is from RefSeq and is a predicted model, not a curated record. The transcript is spliced from 3 exons. NCBI's taxonomy places the organism in Eukaryota, Metazoa, Chordata, Aves, Passeriformes, Passeridae.